ACCAGACUCCUACGGGAGGCAGCAGUGGGGAAUAUUGCACAAUGGGGGAAACCCUGAUGCAGCGACGCCGCGUGAGCGAUGAAGUAUUUCGGUAUGUAAAGCUCUAUCAGCAGGGAAGAAAAUGACGGUACCUGACUAAGAAGCCCCGGCUAACUACGUGCCAGCAGCCGCGGUAAUACGUAGGGGGCAAGCGUUAUCCGGAUUUACUGGGUGUAAAGGGAGCGUAGACGGCAAGACAAGCCUGGAGUGAAAGGCGGGGGCCCAACCCCCGGACUGCUCUGGGAACUGUCUGGCUGGAGUGCAGGAGGGGUAAGUGGAAUUCCUAGUGUAGCGGUGAAAUGCGUAGAUAUUAGGAGGAACACCAGUGGCGAAGGCGGCUUACUAGACUGUAACUGACGUUGAGGCUCGAAAGCGUGGGGAGCAAACAGGAUUAGAUACCCGUGUA
RNAcentral lists this ribosomal RNA (445 nucleotides) under uncultured bacterium. RNAcentral describes it as "bacterial SSU rRNA". It matches the Rfam family "Bacterial small subunit ribosomal RNA", at positions 330 to 792 of the family's 1533-position model. The record is from RNAcentral.